CGCGGGGUAGAGCAGUCUGGUAGCUCGUCGGGCUCAUAACCCGGAGGUCGCAGGUUCGAAUCCUGUCCCCGCCA
Molecule: transfer RNA, 74 nt
Filed under: Planctomycetales bacterium 4572_13
Lineage: Bacteria; Pseudomonadati; Planctomycetota; Planctomycetia; Planctomycetales
Also listed under: 6 other names
Description: tRNA-Met
Rfam family: tRNA
About the family: Transfer RNA (tRNA) molecules are approximately 80 nucleotides in length. Their secondary structure includes four short double-helical elements and three loops (D, anti-codon, and T loops).
Source: RNAcentral